UGUGUUUUUCACAGUUUUUGAAUUUCAAUUGACUCCAGAGGAAAUGAAAGUCCUCGAGGGCCUGAACAGAAAUAUCUGAUAUUUGACUCCAGAUCACAGAGACCUGGGCUCUGGCCCUGCCUUCUACUGGAAGAUCCUGAAGGUGGAGUUGCCCUGGGAGCGUCCUCAGCCUCUGCUGAAUGCACCUGAGCAACUCAGGCUUGGCGGAAGCUGCAGCCACAGCUCAGAAAGUAAAGCACGACAUAUCUGUCAUUUUCUGAAAAGAAAUAAAAGGAUUCUCUGUUUCAAUAUUUA
This is a long non-coding RNA of Nannospalax galili (Upper Galilee mountains blind mole rat), 294 nucleotides long. RefSeq lists it as uncharacterized. The transcript is spliced from 3 exons. NCBI's taxonomy places the organism in Eukaryota, Metazoa, Chordata, Mammalia, Rodentia, Spalacidae. The record is from RefSeq and is a predicted model, not a curated record.